GAAGGCAUCGCGGUAAUUAAUAUCUCCUAGCAUCAUGCUGAAGGUCUGGAUUAUAGAAAGCAAUGGAGAGCUGAAAGCAUCCUGAGAAAAGAUGGCAUUACUUCACACAAAGGAGGAGAGAAAAAUCUUCCCAGUAUCAAAGAAAGUGCUACCAAAGCUUGAUAAAUGGAUCUGAGAGGUUAUAAAUCAUCCCUCAUGCCAGAGGACACGAAAUGACAGUAGGAUAGGAAGAAAGCAUACCUUUUGUUCUUGAUGGUUGUAAGAACCACGUCCUUCCUCUUAUUGUGAAUUGCAACAUGCAAAAAGGAGGCCUGCUGCUUGUUCAGGACGAUGUCAGCAUCAUAACUCAAAAGAAGUGCGACGGCUUUGGCAUGGCCUUCCCUUGCAGCAAAGUGCAGUGCAGUGUUCUUUCAGAGAGAACAGGACACAGAAAAUCCAGUGAAAAUGGCUAGUCAUCCUUUGGCUAUCGUACUGCUUUCAUCUUUGAACUGCUUAAAAUAAAUUAUUGACAAACCCAA
This is a long non-coding RNA of Felis catus (domestic cat), 518 nucleotides long. RefSeq lists it as uncharacterized. The transcript has 3 exons. Lineage: Eukaryota; Metazoa; Chordata; Mammalia; Carnivora; Felidae. The record is from RefSeq and is a predicted model, not a curated record.